UUGGGCGUAAGAGUUCGUAGGCGGUUAUCUAAGUCUGGUGUUAAAGCCCGAAGCUCAACUUCGGCAUGGCAUUGGAAACUGGGUGGCUAGAGUGUGGUAGAGGUCUCGGGAAUUCCUGGUGUAGCGGUGAAAUGCGUAGAUAUCAGGAGGAACACCGGUGGCGAAAGCGCGAGACUGGGCCAUAACUGACGCUGAGGAACGAAAGCCAGGGGAGCGAAAGGGAUUAGAUACCCCUGUAGUCCUGGCCGUAAACGAUGGAUACUAGGUGUUGGAGGAUUCGACCCCUUCAGUGCCGUAGCUAACGCGAUAAGUAUCCCGCCUGGGGAGUACGACCGCAAGGUUGAAACUCAAAGGAAUUGACGGGGGCCCGCACAAGCGGUGGAACAUGUGGUUUAAUUCGAUGCAACGCGAAGAACCUUACCUGGGCUUGACAUCUUUGGAACCUUGCGGAAACGUGAGGGUGCCUUCGGGAGCCAAAAGACAGGUGGUGCACGGUUGUCGUCAGCUCGUGUCGUGAGAUGUUGGGUUAAGUCCCGCAACGAGCGCAACCCUCGUGGUCUGUUGUUACAGGUCGUAAGAUGCUGAACCCUCAGGCCAGACUGCCGGUGACAAACCGGAGGAAGGUGGGGAUGACGUCAAAUCAUCACGCCCCUUAUGUCCAGGGCUACACACGUGUUACAAUGGGUAGUGGACAAUGGGUAGCUUGGCAGCGAUGUCCGGCAAAUCCCCUAAACCACCCCUCAGUUCGGAUCGUAGUCUGCAACUCGACUACGUGAAGUCGGAAUCGCUAGUAAACGCAGAUCAGCACGCUGCGUUGAAUACGUUCCCGGGCCUUGUACACACCGCCCGUCACACCACGAAAGAGGGUUAUACCCGAAGUCGGUGUCCCAACCGUAAGGAGGGAGCCGC
RNAcentral lists this ribosomal RNA (909 nucleotides) under uncultured bacterium. Its description in RNAcentral is "bacterial SSU rRNA". It matches the Rfam family "Bacterial small subunit ribosomal RNA", at positions 554 to 1456 of the family's 1533-position model. The record is from RNAcentral.